GCGUCAUGCGUGCUUGCUGGCGUGUGUGUGUGUGUGUGUGUGUGUGUGUGUGUGUGUGCAAACUCCCCUCACGCACACCCAGCACACAC
RNAcentral lists this microRNA precursor (89 nucleotides) under Pelodiscus sinensis (Chinese soft-shelled turtle). Its description in RNAcentral is "miRNA (ENSPSIG00000019619.1)". The record is from RNAcentral. Lineage: Eukaryota; Metazoa; Chordata; Testudines; Trionychidae.